RNAcentral lists this ribosomal RNA (854 nucleotides) under uncultured bacterium. RNAcentral's name for it is "bacterial SSU rRNA". It matches the Rfam family "Bacterial small subunit ribosomal RNA", at positions 642 to 1498 of the family's 1533-position model. The record is from RNAcentral.
UAGAGUAUGGUAGAGGAAAGUGGAAUUUCUGGUGUAGCGGUGAAAUGCGUAGAUAUCAGAAGGAACAUCGAUGGCGAAGGCAGCUUUCUGGACCAAUACUGACGCUGAGGUACGAAAGCGUGGGUAGCAAACAGGAUUAGAUACCCUGGUAGUCCACGCCGUAAACGAUGAUAACUAGCCGUUGGGAGGGUUUACCUCUUAGUGGCGAAGCUAACGCGUUAAGUUAUCCGCCUGGGGAGUACGGCCGCAAGGCUAAAACUCAAAGGAAUUGACGGGGACCCGCACAAGCGGUGGAGCAUGUGGUUUAAUUCGAUGCAACGCGAAGAACCUUACCUGGUCUUGACAUACAGAGAACUUUCUAGAGAUAGAUUGGUGCCUUCGGGAACUCUGAUACAGGUGCUGCAUGGCUGUCGUCAGCUCGUGUCGUGAGAUGUUGGGUUAAGUCCCGUAACGAGCGCAACCCUUAUCCUUAUUUGCCAGCACUUCGGGUGGGAACUAUAAGGAGACUGCCGGUGAUAAACCGGAGGAAGGCGGGGACGACGUCAAGUCAUCAUGGCCCUUACGACCAGGGCUACACACGUGCUACAAUGGGAAGGACAAAGGGUCGCUAAGCCGCGAGGUGGUGCUAAUCUCAUAAACCUUUUCGUAGUCCGGAUCGGAGUCUGCAACUCGACUCCGUGAAGUCGGAAUCGCUAGUAAUCGUGGAUCAGAACGCCACGGUGAAUACGUUCCCGGGUCUUGUACACACCGCCCGUCAUACCAUGGGAGUGGGUUGCACCAGAAGUGGGUAGUCUAACUUAGGAGGACGCUCACCACGGUGUGAUUCAUGACUGGGGUAAAGUCGUAACAAGGUA